AAGACAUCCUUAUGAGUCAAGACUUGCUUCAGUGGGGCUUUGGUGCUCACUGAGUCUGCCCCCUGAGUGUGUGCAUU
This 77-nucleotide microRNA precursor is filed under the name Myotis lucifugus (little brown bat). RNAcentral's name for it is "mir-9229 microRNA precursor family". It matches the Rfam family "mir-9229 microRNA precursor family". The record is from Rfam by way of RNAcentral. Lineage: Eukaryota; Metazoa; Chordata; Mammalia; Chiroptera; Vespertilionidae.